RNAcentral lists this ribosomal RNA (253 nucleotides) under uncultured bacterium. Its description in RNAcentral is "partial 16S ribosomal RNA". It matches the Rfam family "Bacterial small subunit ribosomal RNA", at positions 524 to 776 of the family's 1533-position model. The record is from RNAcentral.
UACGUAGGAUGCGAGCGUUGUCCGGAAUUAUUGGGCGUAAAGCGAACGUAGGCGGUUUCUUAAGAUUGGUCUUAAAGACCGGGGCUCAACCUCGGGAAUGGAUCGAUAACUGGGAGACUGGAGGACGUCAGAGGAAAGUGGAAUUCCGAGUGUAGCGGUGAAAUGCGUAGAUAUUCGGAGGAACACCAGUGGCGAAAGCGACUUUCUGGGACGUUCCUGACGCGGAGGUUCGAAAGCUCGGGGAGCAAACAGG